RNAcentral lists this ribosomal RNA (340 nucleotides) under uncultured bacterium. RNAcentral describes it as "bacterial SSU rRNA". It matches the Rfam family "Bacterial small subunit ribosomal RNA", at positions 8 to 350 of the family's 1533-position model. The record is from RNAcentral.
AGAGUUUGAUCCUGGCUCAGAUUGAACGCUGGCGGCAUGCUUUACACAUGCAAGUCGAACGGCAGCACAGGGAGCUUGCUCCCGGGUGGCGAGUGGCGCACGGGUGAGUAAUACAUCGGAACGUGUCCUGUUGUGGGGGAUAACUGCUCGAAAGGUGGCUAAUACCGCAUGACACCUGAGGGUGAAAGCGGGGAUCGCAAGACCUCGCGCAAUUGGAGCGGCCGAUGCCCGAUUAGCUAGUUGGUGAGGUAAAGGCUCACCAAGGCGACGAUCGGUAGCUGGUCUGAGAGGACGACCAGCCACACUGGGACUGACGACACGGCCAGCUCCUACGGGAGCA